Molecule: long non-coding RNA, 413 nt
Filed under: Chlamydomonas reinhardtii
Lineage: Eukaryota; Viridiplantae; Chlorophyta; Chlorophyceae; Chlamydomonadales; Chlamydomonadaceae
Description: long non-coding RNA (CREI_LNC000798)
Source: RNAcentral
CGGCGGCAGGGCCAUCGUCCAGCAAGGCCGUUGCAGCCUCCAGCAAGGCAAAGGCUGCGGCGCCGCCAGCUGAGGACGAGGACUCUCUGCGCGGCGACCUCUUCUCAGCCAAGCCCAGGUCGUCAGCGAAGCCGAAGGCCGCACCUCUGCCGGCCGACGAGGACGAGGACUCCUUGCGCGGCGACUUGUUCUCAGCCAAGUCGAAAGGCGCAGCGACGGCGUCCAGCUCCACAAAGGCGAAGGCCGCACCGCCACCAAUCGAGGAGGAGGACGAGGACGCUCUGCGCGGCGACCUCUUCGCGGCCAAGCCGAAGGCCACUGCCGGCAAGUCCAAAGCAGCAGCAGCGCUGCCACCGGCGCAAGAUGACGACGAGGACGAGCUCAGAGGCGACCUUUUUGCAAAGCCCAAAAGC